Molecule: microRNA precursor, 78 nt
Filed under: Polistes canadensis
Lineage: Eukaryota; Metazoa; Arthropoda; Insecta; Hymenoptera; Vespidae
Description: microRNA pca-mir-3770 precursor
Source: miRBase by way of RNAcentral
CAAUCCUGCAUCAAGUGCAUUGUUACGUUAUUCUGCAAUCAGCAAUGCAUUGCACGCAGGGUAGCGUUAAUGUGUUAG